Paralichthys olivaceus (Japanese flounder) is the source of this 5637-nucleotide non-coding RNA. Lineage: Eukaryota; Metazoa; Chordata; Actinopteri; Pleuronectiformes; Paralichthyidae. The record is from RefSeq and is a predicted model, not a curated record.
GUUGCGAGGAUGACACCGGCGUCCAACUCCAUCAAGACAACCUGAUCGUGCGGGCGGAUCUGAUUCAUUUCUAGCUUUAAAAACACAUUAGAACGAUGGCGCGGAUCUUUGCAGCUGCACGGACACGCUCGGUCGCGGCUGUUUUCACGUUUUUUGCGCUGUGGGGAUGUGCGCUCUCCAUCACUCGCUACUCUAUUCCGGAGGAGAUGGAAGAGGGCUCCUUUGUUGCCAACCUGGCCACGGAUCUGGGUCUGGAUGUUCGCAGUCUGGUGCAGCGCAGCGCGAAGCUCGAUGUCAUCCACAGCAAAAACUACCUCGACAUCAACAAAGAGACGGGGGAGCUGAUCAUCCGCGAGAGGAUGGACAGGGAGACAAUAUGCACGACCAAGACGACCUCCUGCUUUCUGAAAAUGGACGUCAUCCUCGAGAACCCCAUUCGCAUUUUCAACAUCGAGCUGGAGAUCAUGGACAUUAAUGACAACGCGCCCGUGUUUCGCAGGAAGACGAUGCCCUUGGACAUUUCGGAGGCGACCCCUCCCGGUGAGAGGUUUUCAUUGACAAACGCCGUGGAUGCGGAUGUGGGGGCCAAUUCAAUCAAGACCUACUAUCUCAGCGAGAGCAAAUACUUCAUCAUAGACAUACAAGCUGGCAGCGAUGGCUCCAAAUACGUCGAUUUGGUCCUCAGUGGUAAUUUGGACCGAGAGGAACAUGCAGUUCAUAAUCUGAUUUUAACCGCUGUGGAUGGAGGGGUGCCUCCCCGCUCCGGCACAGCCAACAUCAUCAUUAAUGUCCUGGAUAUCAAUGACAACGCCCCCCUGUUCAGUCAGCCGGUGUUUGCAGUCAACGUGUCAGAGAACUCGGCUGCAGGGACAGUGAUCAUGAAGUUAAACGCAUCAGACUUGGAUGAAGGCAAAAACAGCCAGUUGAUCUACUCAUACACACUGUACACCUCGGAGAAGACGCAGGAGCUCUUCUCACUUGAUCCAAACUCGGGUGAAAUCAGGGUGAAGGGGGUGAUCGAUUAUGAAGAGAGUCAAAGUUUUGAGAUGCACAUACAGGCCCAGGACAGAGGGGCCAACCCGCUGUCAGGCCAUUGCAAGGUGAUGGUGUUCAUUAUGGAUGUGAACGAUAACUACCCUGAAGUGACCGUCAAGUCUCUGAAAAGUGCACUGACCGAGGAUGUCUCUGUGGGGGCACUGAUCGCGGUGGUCAGCGUCAGCGACAGGGACUCUGGGGUCAACGGGGAAGUGGAGCUCAGCUUGAGUCAACAGGAAAUCUUACCGUUCGUUCUCAACAAAUCCUCGGAGGGUUACUUUGAGCUGCUGCUCUCAAAGCCUCUGGACAGAGAGGUCAUUAGCAAAUAUGAAAUCAUACUGAGAGUGACAGACAAAGGCUCGCCGCCCUUGUGUGAAAACGAAACCAUCACCGUUGAUAUUCUUGAUGUCAAUGACAAUGCACCCAAGUUCUCUCAGUCAUUCUACACAAUCCAUGUGGUGGAGAAUAACGUACCAGGGGCGCUGCUGACAUCUCUAAGUGCAUUUGACCCAGAUCUGAAUGAGAACCAGUACUUGGUCUAUUUCAUAAUGGAGAAGGAGAUCGUUAACACGUCUAUGUCAAUGCUGUUCUCCAUCAACCCUGAGAACGGGGAUCUUUAUGCCCUGAAAACCUUUGACUAUGAGAGGGAGAGGGACUUCCUUUUCCACAUUGAGGCGAGAGACUCAGGUGUUCCCCCGCUGAGCAGCAACGUGACAGUUCACAUCAUCAUUCUGGACCAGAAUGACAACACUCCACUCAUAGUAUCACCUUGGCGGGCGCAGGGCUCCUUGAUAGAGGAGGUGAUACCCAGGUCCACAGAGAAGGGGCACUUGGUCGCCAAAGUAAUUGCUAUUGAUGCGGAUUCGGAGCAGAACGCAAGGGUCACAUACCAGCUCCUGCAGAUCAGUGACGCAUCCCUCUUCAGUCUUGAUCAGUAUAACGGUGAAAUCCGGACGACAAGGAUGUUCAGCUACAGAGACCCAAGGCAACAGCGGCUUGUCAUCAUUGCCAAAGACAAUGGCCAACCUGCGCUCUCUGCUACUGUCACCAUCAAGAUAUCAACUGUGGAACACGCCAUGUCCUUUUCAGAGACCACAGAGUUGCCACUAGAAUAUGACGUCUUCACAGACCUAAACUUGUACUUGGUGAUCGGUUUAGGAGCUGUGUCAUUUCUGCUACUGAUAACCAUCCUGGUUAUUAUUGUGCUGAAGUGUCAAAAACCAAAGCCAAAGGCCAUAAAGAUCCCCCCGGCCAAUAGGAACAGCGUGAUCAGCAGAAACAGUGUGAUCAGCCAGAGGAGCUCCACCAUCGCAGAUUCCACCCUGAUCUCCAGCGAUGCCUACUGGUACAGUUUGUUCCUCGCAGAGACCAGGAAAGGCAAAGUGGUGGUGAGACAGCCCAUAAUCCCGAAAGGAGCCGGGUACUUUGUGUCCAGUAUACCCAGAAGCAUAGGGCCAAGUGAGACCACAGACUCCAGAGCGUCCACACUGGAGUACUCAAAAUGAAAGGAAGUCCAUUCUACAAGUGGAGGUAUGCUGGUUGCUGACUACAUUCUGUAGAUCCACUAUAACAGGAACCCAGGAGAGAACUGCCAUGAUAUAAUCAUCUCUUCGUGGGAAGCAGUGGCUGAAACUUUCCCCCUGUGACUCACAAGAGAAGAUGUCCUCCCCCAGUCUCUCUUCUCCAACGCUCCUUUCUCUCCAGCUCCUCCCACCCCCCCACAUACGAACAUCGACCACUAAUCGCCUCAGCUUUCUUCCUGUUUUUCUUUCUCUUCUGAGCAUGAAUCUGCAUGAUUCUAAGUAUUUUCAAAUGUUCAGUAUUUGGACAAUAGGAUCUGAACCAUUCAUGGCAGAACAUCUGGACGUUAAUAGAGUGGCCUCAUGUAGUAUUUCCCCUUCUCCUUAAUGCUUUGAAGCUCCUCAGUGGAAAAACUUGCCUUCUCUCCAGGGUUACGUUAUGUGCCGUAUCGUUCUUAAAACCAUCAGUAGGGUCACGAUCAUGCAACAUUUCUUAAGCAAACACGUCUAAUUGUAAAUACACAUGAAACAGGGUGAAUAAGAUUCUUCCAUAAACCUGGUAAAUACACAACUGUAGCUGGUUUUAUCAUUGAUUCAGGCUUUGCACUUGGUAUUUAUCUUUCUUUCUUUCUUUCCUUUUCUUUUUUUGAUAAAACAAUUACUAUACAACAACUAUAUUAUGAGUCUUGCUGUUUACCGAGGCUCGUUCAACUAGUAACUUUCCAAUGACAAUAAUCGGUGAUAAGUUUUUUUUUUACAAUGUUUGUUGUACUAACAGUGAUGAAUGUGAGAAAAUGACAAAAAGAGAAUGAAAGAAAACAAAACUGUAAAACGCGGAAAAUGCAAACAAACAGGAGAUCCGUAAUGUGUGUCUCAAGUCAACUGCAUCCUUUAGAGGAGGCGAUCUAUGACCGAGAAGACCGGAACGAAAUGAGACGGAUUGAUCAGGCUUUCCGUGAUCAGGGUCACCAGCUUGUCCCGCCCCUGUUGCCUAGCAACAGAGGUGUAGAUGGCCCAUCCAAGAAAGUUUCAAUGCCCCUUAGUUUGUAACUGUGUACUGUUGGGUUGAAGCAUUGGCAGUCUUGUCGGCUUCGCUUGCCAGCGCUGUUACUUCUUUGAAAAAUGCUUUGUCACUGAAACCCAAUGAACCCUGGGAAAGGUUGGGCCAGGAAGGAUUCUCCCGUUGGAGCCUUCGUUUCUUGGGGAUGGAGAAAAGCAUUUGUCAGACAGCCUAGUCAUGCAGCAAUCGGUCUUAAGUGCAGCCUCCAAGGGAUGCAGCCCCAGAAUUGAGACACAGACUUUUUUUUAUUUGAUUGUAGAUAAUGUAGUUCUAUAGAUUUCUGACACGCGCAGAAGUGCAGUUCAUACUUUACAGAGAUUCCGUGGUGCUGUAAAGUAUCUGACUGGGCAUUCGUUAAUAUGGGUGUAUUAGGGAAACGCAAAACAACACUGCAACAUUGAUUGUUUUCAAACAGAAAAUGUGUUCCAAGCAGGGUGCAUGAGGCAGGUGUGUCCUCAGGUGAAAUAUUUAUGGAGUGGGACGCUGACAUCAUGAACUGGGCCAGUACCAGAGUGUGCCCUAAGGUUCGAACACAAUUUAAAGUAUUGUCAAAAUUAACUUUUCUUUGUGAUAAGAUUUUGCUUAUGACACAUACAGUAUAAGCUAUUACAUCUUCUGUUCCCCCAGGCUGAUGAAACUGCACUACAAAUACUCACUGCAUUUAUUAAUGCACAUGGUUCAAAUUAUGUCAGUCACUGGAAAUUAAACAGAAAAUGUGUUAAAUGUUAAGUUAAAUGAAAAGAGCAACAUUUUUCAAAUGUAUUUAUCUUUGCCAUGGUAAAAAGGGAAUUUAAAACAAGGUGUUGUUUUAUGACUACAUGUUUUUAUAGAUAUUUUACGUAUUUACUAUUAAUGCUGCUUCUGUGAGCUUCUUCAAGGGCGUUUUUUGUGUUGCGUUUUUGUAGUUUAGUGUAGACGAUGUUGUUUUGAUAGUGUACAUACGUUUAACUAAAACAAGACUACUUUUCUUGACCUCAGACGGUAGCGCAGUUGCACUACUGUGAAGCCCAGGACUUUCUCAGAAACAGGGAGCUUAUUAGGAUCCCUCAUUAGGGUGCAAAAGUAUUUACAAGUAAGUGGUUAAGGCGUAGUGAGAUGAGGAACGUUGUGUUAUUCAUAGGUGCAGUAUUCCUGCACUGACUCUGCAAGUAAUAAGAAAAAUAACAGUGCUGAUCACAUAGAGGGAAAAGUACAGAGCAUACGACAGCACUUUGAAAUAUGCACCCUAUUCUUGAUGUGGACACAUCUUCAGACGUAUCAGGUAACAGUCUGAGUCAGGGAAAUCUAACCCCUCUAAUUUUUAGACCAGGCUGCUGAGCACAUAAACACAACUGUCUGUCUGACUCGUGGUGUCAUUUAAUGAAGCAUCUCUCGCUGUGGAGAACAUGUAAGCGCAGCUUUUGCCAGAACCGAUUGAUUCCAACAGUUUUUAAAGUAUUAUAAAUUGCACAUAUAUAUAUAUAUAUAUAAAUGAUGAGCCCCUUGCGUGCCUUCCGCAUUGUAAAAGAUUCUGUAUCUGAGACUGUUGAUGAAUGAAAUAAUGGCAUUUCGUACAGUAUUUAUCCCCAUGAGAAAAUACCACCUUGAAUAGGAGUUGUUGGAUAAAGGGACUCAGCCUUUUUGGUUUAGAACCAGUAGAUUACUGUAAAUUAAACUGCUUUAUACUUUGUGUUUUUUAUACAGUAGACUUUUUUGAUAUCUUCUGUAUUCACUGUGAUCGGACGGCACAGGGGGUGCUUGUGCUCGAUAUAGUAAAAAAAAAAAAAAGUGUUAUUCCUCAUUUGUGUGCGCAGCUCAGUUUUCUUUCUUUUCCUCAGUUGAUUUGCCAGUUCAGAUUGUGCAGUAAUGCUUCGGGAGUUGCAUCAAACGUAAUCCAGCUCCAUCCCACUAAGUGGAUCAAAGACAAUAUGGGAGAGAAUGGCCUUGCUUUAUUUUCAUGUCGAGUUAAUUGUCAGAUUUUGAUGUUGCUUAUUUGGCGUAAAUAUUCUGCCUGAUCAUGCUAGUUUGAAUAAAGCUUUUUAA